GCUCCCGUAGCUCAAUGGUAGGGCGUCCGACUUCUAAUCGGAAGGUUGUGGGUUCGAGUCCCACCGGGAGUG
Non-coding RNA from Lasiosphaeria hispida, 72 nucleotides. The record is from the annotation of a GenBank genome assembly. NCBI's taxonomy places the organism in Eukaryota, Fungi, Ascomycota, Sordariomycetes, Sordariales, Lasiosphaeriaceae.